UGCAGUCGAGCGGAACGAGUUAACUGAACCUUCGGGGGACGUUAACGGCGUCGAGCGGCGGACGGGUGAGUAAUGCCUAGGAAAUUGCCCUGAUGUGGGGGAUAACCAUUGGAAACGAUGGCUAAUACCGCAUGAUGCCUACGGGCCAAAGAGGGGGACCUUCGGGCCUCUCGCGUCAGGAUAUGCCUAGGUGGGAUUAGCUAGUUGGUGAGGUAAGGGCUCACCAAGGCAACGAUCCCUAGCUGGUCUGAGAGGAUGAUCAGCCACACUGGAACUGAGACACGGUCCAGACUCCUACGGGAGGCAGCAGUGGGGAAUAUUGCACAAUGGGCGCAAGCCUGAUGCAGCCAUGCCGCGUGUGUGAAGAAGGCCUUCGGGUUGUAAAGCACUUUCAGUCGUGAGGAAGGUAGUGUGGUUAAUAGAUGCAUUAUUUGACGUUAGCGACAGAAGAAGCACCGGCUAACUCCGUGCCAGCAGCCGCGGUAAUACGGAGGGUGCGAGCGUUAAUCGGAAUUACUGGGCGUAAAGCGCAUGCAGGUGGUUUGUUAAGUCAGAUGUGAAAGCCCGGGGCUCAACCUCGGAAUAGCAUUUGAAACUGGCAGACUAGAGUACUGUAGAGGGGGGUAGAAUUUCAGGUGUAGCGGUGAAAUGCGUAGAGAUCUGAAGGAAUACCGGUGGCGAAGGCGGCCCCCUGGACAGAUACUGACACUCAGAUGCGAAAGCGUGGGGGAGCAAACAGGAUUAGAUACCCUGGUAGUCCACGCCGUAAACGAUGUCUACUUGGAGGUUGUGGCCUUGAGCCGUGGCUUUCGGAGCUAACGCGUUAAGUAGACCGCCUGGGAG
Molecule: ribosomal RNA, 843 nt
Filed under: Vibrio natriegens
Lineage: Bacteria; Pseudomonadati; Pseudomonadota; Gammaproteobacteria; Vibrionales; Vibrionaceae
Description: bacterial SSU rRNA
Rfam family: Bacterial small subunit ribosomal RNA
Source: RNAcentral